This 89-nucleotide transfer RNA is filed under the name Thermosipho japonicus. RNAcentral describes it as "tRNA-Leu". It matches the Rfam family "tRNA". From Rfam's summary of the family: Transfer RNA (tRNA) molecules are approximately 80 nucleotides in length. Their secondary structure includes four short double-helical elements and three loops (D, anti-codon, and T loops). RNAcentral also lists the same sequence under 13 other names. Lineage: Bacteria; Thermotogati; Thermotogota; Thermotogae; Thermotogales; Fervidobacteriaceae. The record is from RNAcentral.
GCCGAGGUGGCGGAAUUGGGAGACGCGGUUGACUCAAAAUCAACUGGGGUUGACGCCCCAUGCGGGUUCGAGUCCCGCCCUCGGCACCA